CGGGGUGUUGCGCAGUUGGUAGCGCGCCUGCUUUGGGAGCACGGAGUAAGCAACUGUUUCGUUUUUUAUUUCUUUGAAUAAAUCACAUUUUUCUAUUUUACCUCUU
RNAcentral lists this transfer RNA (106 nucleotides) under Lawsonibacter sp. RNAcentral describes it as "tRNA-Pro". The record is from RNAcentral. Lineage: Bacteria; Bacillati; Bacillota; Clostridia; Eubacteriales; Oscillospiraceae. RNAcentral also lists the same sequence under 1 other name.